This is a long non-coding RNA of Oncorhynchus tshawytscha (Chinook salmon), 5135 nucleotides long. NCBI's taxonomy places the organism in Eukaryota, Metazoa, Chordata, Actinopteri, Salmoniformes, Salmonidae. The record is from Ensembl.
UAGAAUUUUACUGCGGUCAUGACUGCCGGUGUGGCGGUAAUACAGUCACCGCAACAGCUCUAACCAUGUCACAUAUGUGCAGAUAUGUGCAUCACGUCAUUGCUCUUUCUCUCUCUGCUGUGUCUACUGAGCCGUUGCCCCCCCUGCAACCUCAUUGGAUAAAGCUGGGCAGGCCUCUAACUAGUUGUCACUCAAAUGGGAGGGGCUGGAGCUCAUUGGCUUGAACUUGAAUUGCUAGGGGGCUGGCCCACGUGGGGGGACAUGUAGGGAAAAUGGCGCGGCACAACUUCAAGAAAACAGUUGCUUUCAAACUAGGGAUUUUGUGGCUAAUUGAGUUAAAACAGUAAUUCUACAUGUAUGAACUACACAUUGACACAUCCCAGCCCAAAGCAGAGGUGUAAAACAUACUUAGUCGCCAAAGUACCGGAGCAUGUCUUUAAUACCCAUACAAAUGUAGACCUCACAAUACAUACUCACACAGUACAGAAUGUUAAGUGCAUUACGUUUAUGCACAGCAAAUUAAUCUGCUCAACAUCCACACGCUCACAUCCAUCCACACCUAUUUUCAGUGGACAAUUGGAUAAAUGUAUUUAAAGACCCAUUUGGAAGGAAAGUGACCAGAAAGAAACACAGAGGAAACAGUCACAGUACGGUGUUUCAGCUUGUCUGAUAGCUCCCUAGAUGCACUCUAGAUCAAAGAGUCUCCCGGGCCCCGUAUAAAGUCUCUGUUGUGAUAAGAGUUCAGCAUGACUGUGUUCCAGGGCCUCACACAGACCCAUUACUCUAUCAAUACUGACAUCAAAGUCUCACCCGGGUUGUCACUUAACUUCUCUCUGACGAAGAAAACGGCGUUCAAGUUUCGGAGCACUGUGUUUCGUAUGAUAAUGGCGCCAGAGAAUGACUCGGUGUGAGUCAGGGGUAGUAGCCCACAUUAGAUGGGAGUAAACACACAGAUUCCUCACGCGUCAAAGCACGACGUGUCAUUUGGUUAGGGAUGAUAUCAGAAUGUACAGAUAGAACCGUUCAGACUGAUGCAGAUGGACAGAAUGAGAGACACACCGGUUAUAAAAAAUUAAAAAACUGCUAACAAAUACUUCACUCUGCCGUUCGCAAUCCAUAUUCCAAAGCACUGCCCACAGACCUGGUGCUCUAAGAUCCCCGUUGGAUUUUAUGACACAGCAUGAGCAAAAUGAGAGUUGAGUUCAUAACACUGAUUUGUUUUGUUUGGGACUGUUAGGGCUACACAGCGCUUCACCUGGCCUCUAUACAUGGACACCAGCACGUCAUCCAGCUCCUGAUCAACAUCUACAAUGCCAGAACUAACAUCAGGGACUACCAUGGCAAGCUUGCAGCCCAUUACUGGAGUGGCAAUGCUGAUGUGUUCAACAAACCAGGCUCGCAGUCAUGUGGGAAAUGGUCAUCAAAAGGAGGAAGAAAGGUCCAGCGCUACACCAACCUACCCUCUCUGCUCCUCUCUCGCUCGCGGAGCCAGGGGAACCUCAACAACCUGGAGUUUGGGACUGCGCCUCAGACCCCACGGCCCCCCCGCUCCCCAUCCAGUAUAGACUUCCACAGCUUCCAAUCCCCACAGCUCUAUGGAGAUCAUUUCUGAUUAAAGAUAGAUAAUAAUUAUUUUAUUUUGCAUCCCAAAUGGCACCCUAUUCCCUAUAUAGUGCAUAUAUAUAUAUAUACACACACACACACACAAAAGGAGUGAACCAUGUAGGGAAUAGGGUGCCAUUUGGGACGUAAUCUUAUUUUUCUAUUACGAUCAUGGCUAUAUCAUGGCUAUAAAGUAUGAUUGGUCACUUCAGAGAAGCACAAAAGGAUUUGAUUGAUUGAAAGUUAAAGUUGUUCAACUGUCUGGCACAGGUCUCUCUCCUUACUAUGGAAUUUAGCAUGUACACUGAACAUAAAUAUGAACGCAACAUGUAAAGUGUUGGUCCCAUUUUUUUAAUGAGCUGAAAUCAAAGAUCCCAGAAAUAUUCCAUAUGCACAAAAAUAAUAUUUCUCUCAAAUUUUGUGCACAAAUUUGUUAACAUCCCUGUUAGUGAGCAUUUCUCCUUUGCCAAGAUAAUUCACAAUUGGCCCAGUGUUAUCCAGGUUUGGUCAGGGUAGGAUGUCAUUGUAAAUAAGAAUUUGUUCUUAACUGACUUGCCUAGUUAAAUAAUAGUUAACAUUAUAAUAAAUUACACAGGUACGCCUUGUGCUGGAGACAAUAAAAGGCCACUCUAAAAUGCUGAUUUUUAUCACACAUCACAAUGCCACAGGUGUCUCAAGUUUUGAGGGAGCGUGCAAUUGGCGUGCUGACUGCAGGAAUGUGCACCAGAGCUGUUGCCAGAGAAUAUAAUGUUCAUUUCUCUACCAUAAUGUUGUUUUAGAGAAUUUAACAGUACGUCCAACCCGCCUCACAACCGGAGACCACGUGAAUGGCGUUGUGUGGGUGAGCGGUUUGCUAAUGUCAAUGAGUGCCCUAUGGUGGCGGUCGAGUUAUGGUACUCGGGCAGGCAUAAGCUACAGAGAACUUGCAUGUUAUUGAUGUCAACUUGAAUGCACAAAAAUACCUUGACGAGAUCCUGAUGCCCAUUGGAGACCUGUAUCUGUGACCAACAGAUGCAUAUCUGUAUUCCCAGUCAUGUGAAAUCUAUAGAUUAGGGCCCAAUUAAUUUAUUUCAAUUGACUGAUUUCCUCAUAUGAACUGUAACUCAGUAAUAUCAAUGAAAUUGUUGCGUGUUCAGUAUAGCUAGCUACUCUCGCUUUUACCUUUGUUGAUAUAUAUUUUCAGAAGUGUAUUAGAUUUAUGAACGCUCUCCUUGCAUUCAUGAUUGGAUUCCACUGGGCACCAACUCGUUGAAUCAACAUUGUUUCAAUGCAAUUUGUCAAUGUAUUGUGACAUACAAUCUACGUGGAAACUACGUUGGAUUUGAAAAAGUAAUCAGCUGCGGUUUUGAGAAUGAAAUUGGGACCACAGGAUUAUGUCAUCAUGGUAACUACAUUUCAACAUAGACAAACCUUGAAUAAAAUAUGUUGAAUGUCUACCAUUCAAACAACGUCAGUUCUUCAACGUUAUAUCCACUCUCAGACAAAAAAAAACAAUCGGCUGGGCAGCACCUGUUACUGGAGAAUGUAUCUAUCUACAGCUACCCUUUGGUCUCCCAUCCAACUGUUUUCUCAUGUAGUUCUAUGGCUACUUAAGCAGCCCAUAUGACAGUGCAGCCCUUGUAGACUAGCACAGGAAAGCAGCGUCACAGAUGAAAGGAGAAACUCGUGAUCAAACCUGCGUUAGUAAGUAGACUAUCGUUGGUAGAGCGCAUGCGGCUCGCGUUGCUCGCUCCGACUGUCAAACAAACGUUGCGAUUUUUAGAUUUUUUUUUCAUGAAAGUAAUGCAAAGUAAUAUAACGGGUAUAAUAAACUGGGUGGUUGAGACCUGAAUGCUGAUCGUCUGAAAUCUGCGGUGUACCACGGAUAUGAAGAAAAAAAAUACGGUGGUAACCAGUAUCCAGGCAAGAACAGCCCUUAGCUGUGGUAUAUUGGCGGUACACCACACCUCCUUGGGCCUUAUUGCUUAAAUAAAACGCAUGACUUUCCAGACAAAGUAAUAUUGUAAAGUAACAUGUUACUUCUGUUAAAUGUAACAGGUAAUACGUAAUAUUUUACUUUUUCAAGUAACUAAUCCCAACACUGAUCCCAAAUGACUUGCAUAAUAAUAAAGUCACUGAUCUUAAUGCAAUUGACAAAAAUACCCCUUAUUUUAGCAAAGGUAUAAGUACUGUAAUUACGUGCUUGUAUUUAAAAAAUAACAAUACAUGUGACGUAUAAAUAAAGGUAUUUAGGUAAUAUUGGUAUAUUAGGACUUGGAUAUGUGGGGUUAUAAGGUAUUUCAGAUGUAUUUUUUUAAUUGAAUGGGAUCCUAUGGGAAAAUGGCAUAACAUGAUUUUCCUAUAAAGUAUCUAAAUAUGUGGGAUAUGUCUUGGGAUAUCAAAAAACAGUGUAGGUAACUGCUAAAAUAGUUACACGUCAAAAUAGGGGAUAGCCUCCUUUAAAGGAGAACUACACUUCCAGAUUUGGCCCAUGACUGGAGGCAAACAAGAGUUGUCUGGGGGUGUGGUUUGAUGUGGUGUUUCUUGGGUGUGUCUUUGCCAUUCAAUCACAACAAAUACGUGCAGUAGUGAGUAUGGCGAGGCAAACUAAGUUAUCUUUGCUAUGGAGAGAACAAAGUUUUAAGUUGAGGACUUCUCCCUUCCCGACUGACCAUCUCAAGAUGGUCAGCUAAUUCAGUUCUCAGUUCUUUGUGGAGGCUAAAGCGUGCGACCUUGUGUUUAGCCAAGCUGACGGCAGCUAGCUAGCAAAGCUUGGUGAUAGCUGCAGCUGACUGUCCUAUCUAGCUGAUAUUUCUCUGUCAAAUCAGUUAUGGCAAGAUAGCAAGAGCCAGUGUCUGGAAUGUGUUUCAAAUGAAACUUGUUCUACAACACCUUGCUACGAAAGUAGCUUGCAACUUAGUUGCAAUGUUUCAUUAUGACAUGUAAAUACAUGUUACUGUGGAAAUGAUAUCAACUACUGCAAGUUGAAUGUCGGGGUAUUCAGUCAGCUCAGCUGUCCUACAGCAAAAUACUCUAUAACUGGCUAGUUUUGUCUCAUCUCUCCUUGUGUCCGCUGUUAGAUCACCUUACAGGUGUAGGUUACAUAUGGACAUUGCACAAACAUCGCCCAGCUUGAGUGUAGAUACAUCAACAACAACAAAAAUUGAUGGAUGUGUUUGUGUUAAGUUUUCUGCUGUAAAUGUCAGUAUGCCUACAUUGUACUUUACAAAUCAAAAUCAGAAUAGCGCAAACAGGCUCUAACCAGAAUAGAAAGAGGAGUUGAGGUCCCGCGGCACAACUGAGCAAGAUUUUCUAAUGAUCAAUUAACCUUUUAAAAUUAUAAACAUGGAUUAGCUAACACAACAUGCCAUUGGAACACAGGAGUGAUGGUUUCUGAUAAUGGGCCUCUGUACACCUAUAUAGAUAUUCCAUAAAAAAAUCUGCCAUUUACAGCUACAAUAGUCAUUUACAACAUUAACAAUGUCUACACUGUAUUUUUUAUCAAUUUGAUGUUAUUUUAUUGGGCGAAUAAAGGUGUUUCUGAUAUUACUAAA